GAUGAAUACUUUUUUUUCAUAAAUAGUAGGAGUAGGGGACACAACUAUAAAUUUUUGGCAAGGUAGGAGUCAACUUCAGCUAAGACAGUUUAAUUUUCU
Limulus polyphemus (Atlantic horseshoe crab) is the source of this 99-nucleotide long non-coding RNA. RefSeq lists it as uncharacterized. Lineage: Eukaryota; Metazoa; Arthropoda; Merostomata; Xiphosura; Limulidae. The transcript is spliced from 3 exons. The record is from RefSeq and is a predicted model, not a curated record.